This 1418-nucleotide long non-coding RNA is filed under the name Strigops habroptila (Kakapo). Its description in RNAcentral is "lncRNA (ENSSHBG00005011189.1)". Lineage: Eukaryota; Metazoa; Chordata; Aves; Psittaciformes; Psittacidae. The record is from RNAcentral.
UCUUUUUUUUUUCUACUGAGGAAAUGGCAUAGCAGGAACCAAUCUAGUACUCAUGCAGAACAGCAUCUAUUUUUAGUAAAGCAGUUUUCACUAGAUAUAAUUUGGGCAUUCUGAAUAGAAUAUGUGAACCAUUGCAAAUUUAACUCCUCUGUUUUAGGAAAUAAAGCCCAUACUCUAUGUGACUAAGGUGAUUUUCUAAUUUUAGGAUAUGAUCUUGGUUUUGAUCUGUUGUUGCAAAUUCACAAAUUAUGAGAGAUUCCUGUAUAAUCGAACAAAUGUGAUAUUCAGGCAUGUAUGCUAUACAGCAAGAAUGGAUAUAGAUAAACCAAGUGACCCAAGUUAACCUAACGUGGUUUUGUUAUGAUAGUCUGGUCCCAAAUAUUCAUGCACGAAGGAGGCAUCCCAGCAAAAGCAAAGAUAUUUACGUUUUGCAUUGUGUGAGUGUUCUAUGUGUUCCACAUUUGUUUCUUCCAACCCUAAGUAUAGUGCAAAAGAAGUGAUUUGUAUUUGUCCAUUGUGAGUUCAGCCUAUUAACUUAUCUAUUUAUUUGCCUGUAUACAUAGAUUUUUUCAUACGAAGCCUGUGAAAGUAGUAUCUAAGCAACAGCCUGAACAUUUCUGCUUUGUCCUGAGAAGUCUAUUCAACAUUUAGAAAGGAGCAUAAAUGUAGGCAAGUUGUAAUGGCAAUGGAGAGUUUAACCACUACAUUAUCUUACCUUGGCUUGUGCUAAGCAGCUGUAAGAAGUGUGUUAUUUAACUGGUUACCAUCUCCUGCUUGAAACAGCACUCUCAUUAUUGUUACCAGUAAUGAAACUACCUGAGAGGUGCUAACCUACAGAAAUAUUAAGAAGAAGAUGAUGCUAGAAGGAAAAUCACACAGGAAAAAAAAAAAUCAAUGCUAUACUCUAUUAUAGUCUCUGCAUCUGGUUGCAGGCAUAUAUGGGAUUUAGCAGGAUUUACUUUCCAGAUAUUCAAAGCAAGCUAAUAAGUUUGGAGAGCUUAUGAUGUUACUUGAAUUAUUUUAUAUAUUUUUUUUCCAAGGACCUGCUGUGUUUUUUCACUUUUAGGCCAGUAUGUUUCUUGGAAGGCUUCUGUAAGAAUUCCUGUUCAUUCAUCCCCCUUCCCCACCAAAACCUAAGGCAGUGUGGUCCUCAAUACCCUGGCAGAUUUGGUUCUCUCAGCUAUAAGGGUUAUGUAUGAAGCAUGAGCUCUUUUGGUUGGCCAUAUAUUGUGAGAAAGUUGCGUAACAGACCCAUCUUGAAUUUUAACCAACUGUGAUAAAAAAUACAUGGAUAAGUUUUUGAAAGAUGUCAUGAGAAGAACUACUAAUGCUGAUGUAUGAAACUGAGUCUUCUGUUCUAGGAUUCAGUUGCCACUAUUUUUGAAGGGAAUUAAACCUUCACAAUCUCCAUCGGGCAA